Molecule: long non-coding RNA, 6685 nt
Organism: Athene cunicularia (burrowing owl)
Lineage: Eukaryota; Metazoa; Chordata; Aves; Strigiformes; Strigidae
Exons: 3
Source: RefSeq, a predicted model, not a curated record
CCCGUUUCUGUUUCAGGAAUCUUCUGGUGAAUUUGGGGCUGUUCGCCGCUGGCGUCUGGGUCGCUCGGAACUUGACGGACAUCGAUCUGAUGGCUCCGCAACCCGGCCCGUAGCGGCGGAACGAAAUAGAGCGGCAAGGGAGAAGAGCUCGCCCCCCACACCCGAGGACCAGAAGAGACGUGUUUAGCCAUUACGAGUUACGAUACUUCACCAGAGUAGGGUCUGUUCUCCUUCUCUGCAGAGCUGCUACUCACACUUCAAAGCUGUCACGCUUAAAGCGGUGACAAGCAGGGGGGAAAAAAAAGGUUUUCAGUGUGAGAGAAUUUAUUUCUAAUUCAUUCUGCAAGGCACAAUGAGAAUAGUUUUGUCAAGGAUGUGAAGCCAUUGUGCGUGGAAUCUUCUGUACCCCUAUCUAAAUGUUUAUUAAAGUAUGUAGAAUAAUGACAUGACGCGCUGGAAUUUCAUUUUUUUUUUAAUAAGAAACUUCAGCUUACAAAAACAAGGUGUAAAAAGAGUAAAGAUUUACAAAAAAAUCAUAAAAACAUGAUUUGUAUUUCACACCCGAAAGACAAAGGAACAAGUCCAGUCCUGGGCUGUAAGCAGGACCCAUCAGCUACUUAUUCAAAGGAAAAACAAAACUGUGACAAGCCCUAGGUAAACUCUAACCACCAGAAGGUUUCCUGGGUAAAUGUCCGGAUGAGAUAAAGCUGGGACACUUCCUGUAAAGGAGAGAUGACUGUGUGUGGGAAGCAGCAGCCGUUUGGUGUUGCAUAGCAUUUUAGUGCCCUGGACUGGGGCUGCAGCUUGGCUGUUAUCAGCUUUAAAGUUCAGCUGUGGGUGGUGGAGCUGCUGGGGGGGGGACAGUGAAAGCACCACGCGGGGCUGACAGAGCCACGGCUGCGAUUUACUCACGUACGUUACCCGACAGCUCCUCCAACAUGCUGUUAGUGGAACAGAAUUAAUUUCCCAGCCCUGAGCAUUAUGGCAGUAGGACUGCAACAUGGCUUCAGAUUCUUUGGACAGUUUACACAACGGGGUUUUAGUUUAAGACAUUCUUCUGAAGUAGCGUUGCCUCCAUGUUUUGUGGCUGAGAACUGCCCCCUUACCUGCCCCAGAGAGAAAGUCAUUCCUCUACCAACACAGAUUCUUAAAAAUGCCGUUUUCAAAGCGGGUGUUCUAAUAUCCUGUAAAGAAAUUAAGGUCUUUUGAAGUAUGAACCACCCGAGUUAGGCAGAAACAGUUUCUGCAGGAAAAGGGGAUUAAUCAAGCCAUCUUAUAGUUAAUCUUAGUUUUGAUUUAGAACACACUAAUCUCUCGAGGCCUGGGUUCAGGCAGGGGGCAGUUCAUGCAGUUAAGUACAUAAGGCUGCCAUAGGUGACUUACUGGAUGUUAUCUUAACGAACCUUGACUAAAAUAAAAGCAGCUGAACCUGCGAUUAGGAGCAGCACACUUCCACUGAGCUGUGAGACAGCUAGACAGAUUGCCAGAAACAUUCAGUAAUUAAUUGGAUUCUCUUGUCGCUGCUGCCUGGGAGCGUCCUUGAAGCAAAGGCAGUCUCACUCAUGAGCACAGCAUGGCACACAUCAGCUUAAGUCAUUAGUGAUGUAAGGACCAGAAACUUGAAGUAGAAACUAGAGGCUGUUCUAACUUAAAGUCCCCAUAGAAGUCACUAAAAAAAAAAUAAAAAAAAAUCAGAAAACCCACCCAAGCUCCAGCCUGGCCUCUCACCCGAGAAAGCAGCUCAGCAUUUCGCUCCUGUUUUCACAAGGGCUGCCGGGGGAUUUCAUACUGAGGGAAAACUGCUCGUCUUCUACCCGGCCUCUGCCAACAACACCCUUCCAGCUGCCUUAACUUAGAGCGGGAUUAACUUUUUUAAAGUGCUGAAGAUUACCUUUAAUUCUGCUCUUACUCAAGUCAAGAGUGAAGCUUCCAGGGCUUUAGCAGAAGUGGGGUCUCCCCGGCAGCGUCCUCCCCAGGCCCACUGCACCUUAAGGGAGCUCGCCCACGCUGUGCUGCUCUCUGAGCAGCUGUUUGAAGUUUCUAAGUUGUUUAAGUUUCUUUUAUGGAAAGGCAGACCUGUAAAAAAAAGUUUUACUGGAAACAAAGUUGUUCCUUUCCUGUAAACUGCUUGUUAGAUGUAUAGAAGGCUGUGGCUUAAAGAGUUUUUGACUGCUUAAACAAAGCUGAAGUUCAUCAGGGAUAAAAAAUAGGACCUAAUUCUCUUUUACAUGGGCUCUAGGUUGCCAGUGGUAAAUUACUGUAGUUGACACAUCUGAUAGACUAGGCCAAAAAUUGGGUUUUCACAUGGAAAUAUGUGGUUCAUCACAGUAGGAAAUAGCCUUAAGGGUCAGGCCUAGUAAUGCCAUUUAAUAAAUGAAGAUGACACUGUGAAAAUGCCAUUCUUAAAUCAGAGGCGUGGAGUUAUGCAGCCCAAACACUACAGUAAUUACUGUACAAUUAAUCGUCAUUUCUCUGCUGCUGAUUUUGUUGAGCAGCUCACCAGGAGCCUGUGGGGACGUCACCCACGUGCACAGCUCUCACCUGCCCAUGCUGUGGUACAUUCUUGACCCUUGUCCAGCCACCAACAAGACACAGAUUUGUACCGACACAGCUGUGGCCGUACAGAUUAUCCCCAUGGUAUGGAUAUGGUUAUCUAGAGGAAAAAAGGCUAGCCUAAGUACAUCAGGCUUAACUCUGCUCAUGUUGAAUGGAAUGGGUGUUCCUCUUUAGCAGGAGCAACGUUCAGAAGCCCCACGCUCCCAAAAAAGAGAGGCUCACACAGAAAUUAGUGGUUAAAGCAGGAACAGAAACAAGAGGAGACCUUUUCUACUUCAGUCCUAGUUCGACAAGUCAGGGCACAGCACUUCAGCAUAGGAAAAAUAUCCAAUUCACCACCUGCCCCCUCUAUUGGAAGUCGGUUAAUCAAGACUAAAAAUUACAAUUGUAAAGUCAUCAACUGUAUCGUGUACUUUCUCACUUCCAGUUAUGCAAAGCAUUUACAGUGACGUUGUGGGCUUUAGGUAGCUCCUUUAUAAAACUUGAGAAUUUGGGGUACUGUUCCUUAGGAACUGAAAUAUGUAAUGGAAAAGCACCAUUGUUUUGCCAGUAUGAAGCUACCGAUCAGAGAAAGCUUUUACCACAAAAACUAUAGGAGGUUGCUGCUAAUGAGACUGAUUUUGUUAAUAAUGUCUCUGCCUGCAAACACGCAGUUCUCCAACACGCAGCGUCCCCUUGGCAGAGGCUUCCUGUCUCAUCCAAACUGGGAUCCCAGCUUACUGCCGUGGGCUGCCUGGCUUUGUUUUUUACUGAUCACUUCAGCCAUCCCAACUCCUUCCCUACUCCCAGCCCGCACAAAAUGAGUUAGCAGAGCAGUUCAAGAAGCACUUUGUAACUGCAGUGCAUUCUUGUAUCACGCACAAGCUUCAAACAAUCAAUAGUUAACAGUGGUUAAAGUCGAUCAGGGGCCCUUUUUGUUUUUUCCUUUUUCUCUUCUCCCCCCUGCCUUUUGGAAAGGUACAUUGCAAAGCUCAUUUGUGUGACUUAAGAACUCUUCUGAAAGAAUUCUGGCUCAUGUGGAAUCCAUACACACACACACAAAAAAAAUAAAAAAUAAAAAUCAGUACAGCAGAAGGAGCAGCCUAAAAGCAUACCCCUAAAAUCAACCGAGACAAAUAAUCACUAGUUGCUACAGGUAACCAACAUACAUAGCGUUUGAUCAUUUAAACAUGUGGUUUUAUAAAUUUAGAAGCUUGCUACAAUGCUUCACAUUCCCAUCUGCAAUAAACAGGUAUCAAUAUUAAUGUAAUAGACACCAAAAAACCCACUGAAUUGAGGUUUUAUAUUCCCACAGGCAAUAAAUUAUCAACCUAAAUCCGUCCUAUCUGAUCUCCAACCUGCUGAAGGGAUUAGACGCGCACACAAAGGCGGUGUUCAGAGCUGCUGCUUGGAUUUUACUAUUUACUUUGAAGAAGGGACACUUGGCCACCUUACACAACCGUAUCUGUUGCAUAUUAAAUUCACACAGGCAUUACCACGGCAUGCUUUUGCUCACGUGUGGAAGUAUUUACUAGGCUGCUGAGAGGAAACCCGUGCAAACACUGCCAUGACAAUGGGAAUGUUGGUUUGUUUUUUUGUUUUUUUUUUUAAUUUUUUAAACCAGCAAUUAGGUUUAUAACAGAAGGUGCUUCCCAAAGCUACAGCUACUCUAGCAAAAACCCUGCUGGAGUUUUUUAUUCCUUGCCCUAUGCUACAUGCUCUGACACAUGUCAACUUACUGACCAGACUGGAGGGGCCUGGGUGACGUAAGAAAAUCUCAAAGGCCAAAUCUAAUCCUCCUCUGAACAAGCUGUUAUUUGAAGUAUUACAAAUAGCAAGAUUUCAAACAUGUAACACUAAAAUACUGGCCUCUGAGCUUGCUGGUAAGCUUCAUUCACAUACAGAUCCGAAAUGUAAAAAAUGUCAGUGAUACUGAGUACCUGUAAAAACACCCAAGUCUGCUGCUUCAGUCAGGAGGGGGGAAUUCACAACUUAUUUCCCAAUGUUUCUCUCCCAUGCAAAAUAUUAUUGAUACAAGGCACCAAAUCUAAGGAAUCAUACAAAAUUAGUUCACGAAAUCGUACUGGCAGGUAAAACUAAUCUCCCCGUCUCUUGCUUACGUAGUUCUCAUUCUGCUCCACCACUGACUUCUGCUGGACGGGUAACUACAACAUCAGCCAGAAGUUUCAUUAGUCUCUCAUUGGGAUGCAAUUAAGCAUAUUCAGGCCUGGGGAUGCUACAAUCAAGAAAAGAGUUUCUAAAUUACCACCAGGACAAUAUUUACUCUAGAAGCCUUGCCUUCUAAAAGCAAAAAAAAACCUCCCGAUAGCGAGUCCAUAGGACACACUUAAUGCUUUUACCAUUUCCAAUUUUAUUCCUACACUCAAAAAAACCCAUCUGGAAGUCCCUAAGUGGGGGUGGUACCGCCACCCAGAAAAGUCUGAUGUCAAGCAUUUAAUAUGCAUUACUCCAUUUGCUGCCUCACAUUAUCCAUUUCAAAGCCGGACCAGAGAAUUGUUCUGGUCAGAACUAACGGGGAAAAAAGUUGGGGUUUUUUCUACUGCUUUGCAGAGAACCUGUUUUUGCAGCAUGCAUAGUUUAACUUGGGAAUACCGGCAGUAAAGGGAUAACAUAAAGGCAAAUUUAUGUAACUAACUUGCUAGUGGAACGAAGUUAGCUAAAAGGAAGUGGUUUCCAACAGCUACAGCGGAUGCUGUAUCAUGUCUGGCCAUGAAUACAUUAAGAUUCUUCAUUCUUAAAAACGUAAAACUAAGGAAUGCCGAUGUAAUUACAAGUUGAAUGUGGAAUAAGGGUAUGUUGGGAACAGUUCUGUCCCAAAGACUGCAUGCUCAGGAGCCUGACAAUCUGCCAGCAUACAGUGGCUUCCUAUGCCCUCAAGACAAUCACCUACAAGGACCUCACACUCGCCCUGAGCAUCUCUCAAGGCAACUGACUCCUUGCUACAAGACUGGAACCCCACUACUCAGAGAAACCAGUUCUGCUCCCAUUCGUACCAAAAAAAUAAAAAUUAAAAAAAUAGAAGUUUUUAUGUUGCAGACACUUAGUUUGCAACUCACGCCUGUGGCCACUGAACUCCACGCAGGAGUUAAGUCACAUCAUCUGCCUGUGUGUUUGCAGAAGCAGAGCCUAAAUCUGGAAUUAUUCUAAACAGACAUCGGUGGAUUAGCAGGGUUUGAAGCCAUACCGUUAAAAGGAGGGACAAAGUUUGCUUUACGGGCUACCCUUUGUCACUUAAGUGGGCUUCACUGUAGUUGCAAGUAGUAUUUCCAUCUUGCUGACGUAGAGAGGUAACUUCCAGUCAGGAUUUCUGGCAAACAGGACACUAUAAAACAGUGUCCACCACGGAGGGAGCAUUGGGCUAUGCUUAUAUAAAGAAGCCUGCAGUAGACAAAUAUAAACCAAACAGCAUAAAAAAUGCUAUACGCUAUCGCUUCCAAAUAAAAGCUAAAUAUUACAGAAACCUCACAGUGUUGGAAAAAGCAAGUUUAUUUACUUUGAAGUAUAAUUCAUUCCUUCCCUAUCAGGGCAAUCAUUUUUCUGACUGCAGUAUCUCCACAGCUCAGCGCAACUAGGCUAACGUCACAUGGAGAGGCCACUAAUGUCAAAAUGAUGUCACCAGCAAAUGCUACAAAAAUCUGCUCGGGCAAUCAGAUGCAGCAACGGCUACAGUCAGAAGAUGGAGUCAAUACUAAUUCAGCUGCAGAAAGAGACUGCUGGAAAAAUCACAAAAACCCCGCGGAUGUUAUUCAUGAAUAGUUCCUGUCCAGUUUCAAAACACUUUCUGUUUAUCUCAUCAUCCCAAGGAUACUGAGAAAAGACACCCAGCUGGAGCGGCUCCACAGAUUUACAUCGCAAGAGAAAAUGAAGCAUUCAUGCUGUUAACAGCAAGCAAUAAAAGGCAUUCCGAAGGGCCGCAAAGCAAAGAGCAGCAAUCUGUAGCUUUAUGCAAAAAUAAAUUAAAAAAAAAAAUUAAAAAAACAACCCCAUGCUACUAGCAAUACAUUCUGGGAAACAAAGUACUGAAUGUCAGGAAACUUGAUUCCAAACAACUCUGAUCAUAAAGCUUUACAACACCCUACGUUUAUGGAAUAAAACACGAGUCUCUUGAAUUUGUUUCCCCCGUAACAAG